This 250-nucleotide ribosomal RNA is filed under the name Ramariopsis corniculata. Its description in RNAcentral is "partial 28S ribosomal RNA". It matches the Rfam family "Eukaryotic large subunit ribosomal RNA", at positions 104 to 344 of the family's 3401-position model. The record is from RNAcentral. Lineage: Eukaryota; Fungi; Basidiomycota; Agaricomycetes; Agaricales; Clavariaceae.
AAAGCUCAAAUUUGAAAUCUGGCGGUUCUUUGCAGCCGUCCGAGUUGUAGUUUAGAGAAGUGCUAUCCGCGCUAGACUGUGCAAAAGUUUCUUGGAAAAGAACAUCAUAGAGGGUGACAAUCCCGUCCUUGGCACAGAUUCUAGGGCUUUUGUGAUGCGCUCUCGACGAGUCGAGUUGUUUGGGAAUGCAGCUCUAAAUGGGUGGUAAAUUCCAUCUAAAGCUAAAUAUUGGCGAGAAACCGAUAGCGAA